This 255-nucleotide ribosomal RNA is filed under the name uncultured bacterium. RNAcentral's name for it is "partial 16S ribosomal RNA". It matches the Rfam family "Bacterial small subunit ribosomal RNA", at positions 9 to 226 of the family's 1533-position model. The record is from RNAcentral.
GAGUUUGAUCCUGGCUCAGGACGAACGCUGGCGGCGUGCCUAACACAUGCAAGUCGUACGCACUGGCCCAACUGAUUGAUGGUGCUUGCACCUGAUUGACGAUGGAUCACCAGUGAGUGGCGGACGGGUGAGUAACACGUAGGUAACCUGCCCCGGAGCGGGGGAUAACAUUUGGAAACAGAUGCUAAUACCGCAUAACAACAAAAGCCACAUGGUCUUUUAGUUUAAAAGUGGCUUUGGCUAUCACUCUGGGAU